GCUAAACAAGGCGAGCGCCGGGAGCGGCGCGUUGGCCCUGCAGCACGCAGCGGGGACACCAGCACCUUCCCAGCAGGGCCACAGCUGUAUUUACAGGAAUGCUGGAGAGAGAAACCAACGCUGCUUUCCUUCGUGUCUGGGAUUUCACAGAAAGCAGCAAACAGGGGAGCCGGACGCCAGAGCUGUGCUCUCCCUUUCACCUGGAGCAGCCGCCCCAUUCCCAAGAGAGAACACUCUGGGUAAGAAGUCGCCCCUGGCCCCGCGCAGAGCGUGCUCCUGUUAGGACUUGCCCUCUGCACGCUUGGUGGCGUGACUUUCGCUUAACGAGACUCAGCAAUCACCCAGCUGGAUUCCGGCGCCAGCCUCACCUGGAAGCGCGCUCUGCCGCUCCAGCGCAGCAACAGAGCUCUGGCUUCGUGGCUAAAUCGACUGCAGAAGGACCAUUUGGGAACCUGGAGCACCUUUAUUCUGCCAGGGUUAAAAGCAAAUGAAUGUACACUUGCACUGGAGAACUCAUCUCCGGACGAUGCCAGAACUACACGUGGUUUCAGAACAGUUAAGACAGUCACAGAGGCAAGCCCACUGAGGUUGUCCCAUGUCAAGUUGAGGCCACCCACCUCCAGCACUGGGAAGUAAGGGGGGAAAAAAUAAUGCGUGAAGGGUACAUGGAAGGAACGAACAUUCACAGUCGCAGGUGAAGAGCUCAGGUUAGCAGUACGGGAAUGACAGAGUGAGAUACAUCCUUUCACAGAUGGCAAACAAAUGGAAAUGCAUUUGGAUUUGCAAUUAAUCUCUGCAACUUUCCAUCAAAUUACCGUAACGUUCAUGUAUGCUUCCAGACAUGUACACCCACUGCUGCGAGGCCGUGAUUAACUUCAGCACAGACAUUGGCUCUUACAGAUUCCUGGGUCAAGUCAGAAAGGCCUUGUGAACAAUCUCAUCCUGUCCAAGAAAAUACUAGGCCACAUGAUUAAUUCUCAGCAGCCUCAGUGGGAUUCAUGACAGUGCUUACUUUGCUGAACAGGGAAAGGAUUAUUCAUAUUUAAUCACACGCAGAUUGCAAUCCAUCUCAGCUUGACCUCCAAGAAGCCGCUAACAACACUUGUCAGCAGAAAGCCUGAGGACAAGAGCAUCUAAGGAAGAUAAGCAACCCCUGAAAUACCAGAGGCUGCAAAAUGUGCACUGGAAAUCCCAUACGUGACUUUCAUGUAAGUAAGGACGCGACUGGACUUGCGUGGUCAAGAGCAUCUCCUAAGAAAUGGGUGGUCAGAGCAUGAAAGAGCAGCUACUGUUAUGGACAGGAUAUCAAGCCCACUCUCUUGCUGCUUUCACUUUGGGAAUUUUCAUGGAAACAACCCUCUGACAACCUGAAACCAUUUCCGCUGCUGGAGGCUGGUGCUUCUUUCUGCCACCUUAGACAGAUACAAGAAUUGUUAAAUACAAAAGCAAUUUCUAUGAUUUAUUUUUUAAACACCGACUGCAGACGGAGAUUUCUGGAUCCUAGGAAGCACAUAAGCAGUGACCCCACUUGAUCAGUUCCACCUUAUCCCUCCCUUGCCCCACCUCAAAAUGAUUUUUUUUAAGUUGGCACAGCUUGAGGCACCCAGCAGCGCACAAUAGUUUCAGAGACCAUAAGGGGUCAACAUGGGGCAGGUAACUUCCUAUUGUGUGCCCUUGAAUCAGAGAAUCUCUUCAUUUCACUGAACAGCUGUAUUACCUGAACUGUUACAGCUCAUCAACUGCUACAAACCUUCCCACGCGUUAUUAAUCCGCAUCACUUGGGGUCUUAUGGUAAAAUAAGAAAGCUCAUUUCCUCUUGGGUUCCCUGACAAGAACAGAUGAUUCCUUUAGGCCUAACAGAUCCUGCACAUAACGGGCUUCAGGAAGGGGUCGCACUGAAGAUUUGAGUAAGCAUUUCCCCAGCUUUCAAGUGUGUGCAGCAGGAGCUACCGUGACUAUAAGAAAGAUGACGCUCUUCCAAAUCAACCUGCAUGAUUCCCACUUGAGGACAGAUGCAAAAAGAGCUCCUGCUGAUACUCAAGAUUAUUCACCGAGAUUACCAAGACUGAGCCUCUCAGGAGCCCGGCAGAAGUCCCUGUUAAAUUAACAUUUGAGUGGGUCUGACUCAUCCCAGAAGUCAUUGAAAUCCUCGUACUGCACACAGCAUUUACAGGUUAUCAUUCUGCUACUAGACAGUGGUCACGCUUCCCUCACAGCGUGAUACACUGCUGAAAGAAACUCCGCCAGCUGACAAACCCUGUUCGCAGUUUACCCUAAAUGAGACCAUUUCCCCACCCUCUCACUGAAAACAAAAAUCUUCCAAAAGGAAGGCAAUUCAAAGAUUUACUAACCGCCCCUUCCCACCCACAUCCACUCCUAGCUCCCCAGCUGGAUAACCAGCACUUUGGGAAUUUGUGCUCUGCAUAAUAUUGGAGACCUCAUCACUGUGGAAAAGAACAUGCCAGAUAACUUUGUCAGUCCUUCCUUUCACAGCCACUAGGGGAAAAAGGAGAAAUACAGAUUUUUUAGAUGAAGAUAUUUUAAAGUCUUCAUUAAAACCACAGCAGCCAGAAAAAAAAAAAUUCCCGAGUCAUUACAUUCAGAAGAACGCAUGACUGAACAAACUCAGAAUUUGCCUCAGAAUUUUUAAAUUCUGACACAUAAAAAAGCAAGGUAGGGCUUACCCUUCAAUGGAUGUAUUUCAAAUUUUUACCAUCUUAACACUUAAAAGCUGGCAACAUUACAGUCUAUUUCAGCUUGGAAGAAAACGGAUGGAUUUUGCUACCUUCCUGAAAGAUCUCAAAGGCUCCAGACCAAAACACAUACCUAUGCUAACAAUUUUGCAACAUUUUAUUAGUAAAACAUGAGUCAGGAUCUGUCAUUAUGUUUGGAAAGACGCCCACAGAAGACGCACAGUAUCGAAAACCAAGAAAGCUACACUAGAAACAAACGCUCUGAAGGCUGAAUGCUUGCUGAAGUGAAGACGCAGCAGAAGACAGAGACUCCAGAUCCUUAAGGUGCACCUGCAGGUUGCUAUAGCAAGUGUUAAUUCACUUGGCAAAACACAGCCUAAUUACACACCAGUGUCACAAAGCACUCUGGUGUCGUGUGCUCCAGCCUUAUGCUCCGUGACAUUUUAUCACAAAUUCAAGAUGCCCCACAUUUUACUCCAUGGGAACAAAUGAGACUGAUGCAGUCUUGCGGUACUCUGUAAAGCAAAAGAAAUGAAACACAGUCAGCUUGGAAACCAGUGACAAGCCAAACCAUUUACAGCAGAACAGGAAGAACCCAGAAAGACUGGAAGAAGUUCUACAGGUGAGAAAUACGCCCUGUCACACCUUCUAACUGCUUGUUAUGGGAAGCUGGUACCUGCAGUGCUACCUGUUCCAAGAUUUGCAAGAUUUCUAGCCUCUUUUUUUUUUUUCAGUACAGAUUGGAUCCAUUGUCAAGCUGGUUUAAUCACACUAAGAGUUUCUCAGUGGCCAAGUUCUAUCCUGCCAAUUAAAAUGUUACACAUUGAAGCAUAAACAUUAACUAUACAGCAGUUGAACAGUCAGCGUUGCCGCGUAUAUCACAUGUGCCCAAGUGCAAAAGUUAUCCACGCUCAUCUAUGUGGGCACCAGACAAGAAAGGCUUUGUCUGUCAGCUUUGGAGUUCAAAAAACAGGAGAAAUCUUUUAUGCCUCUGAGUAACUGCUGCUGGUUUUGCUAGGGAAAAGAAGCUGUUCCUUUUUUCACGCAGCCUUAUAAAGGGAUCCAUGUCAUCCAGUAAGUGCCAGCUCUCAGCACUGCAGUUGCUAAAAAAAGAAGCUAUAAAAAUCAAAAUUAAGUUUUGUACCUCACAGUUACUACUGUGUUUCCUGUAUCAUCCCCAUAAUUUGUACUCACUUGAAUAGGCUUCAUCUGCCUAUAAUUUUUAUUUUUUAAGGAGCAAAAUAGCUUAGGAGCAUUUUCUUCUAGUAUGCUACCAUUUAAUUAGGCCUAAAAAGCAGGGCUUGGGCGGGGGGUGAAGAGAAAAAGAAGUCUUGUAAAACACCACGUUACGUAGCCAAUAAGGACAGAACUUACCCCAGCGAGGCACUCCUCCCGAGUUCAUGGGGCUGGCUCAUCUGGCCCAACAGAGCAGACAGCAGCCUCCACCAGAGCUCUGCUUCUAGCAGCAGCUUUGUUAGACAUUCUUCCUCCCACCUCCUUUCAUGUGGUGUUUGUACCAAAAGAAACCAGUCACCUCUCAAGAUGCAAGGGAGCAAAGGAUAGCGUAAGGAGCUCAAGUGCUGGCACACAGUGAGCAGCUGAAUGCAGGUCAGAAUUUUACGUCAAGAGCAGCACAUGUCUUUGCAGUCGUUUGUGGAGAGACCAGUUUCUGCCCAGCUCACGAGACUUUAAAGCAGCUGCACGGCAAUGCUUGUGAAUUGCUUGUCAUCUCUAAUACCGGAUCUGUAGCUGCCCAAAGUUUGCCAGAUCGGGGAAAAUCCCCCUAAGGUCUGACAAACAGCAAAAGCUGUUACAGAAGGAAGCCCAUACUGUCUGUCACAGGAAAAGCACGAGUUGGCAAAAGCCUGUAUGUAGGUCCAAGCAAGUUACUAUUUCACAGUAUCAUAAGCCCAGAAGGUAGCUCGCGCGCUCUGCGGCGUGUUCUGCACGAGCAGAUCAUUUAACUUGACAGCACUAGCCCCGUCUCACUGAAGUGGUGGGAAUUAGUGUAGUAGUUUUAAAGGUUUUCCGCAAAAUAAUCUUACCCAAGUCUUCAAAAAGUUGUAUGGGCACUAGAACUUCAUAAACUGUAAUAAGUCCUCUACUUAACCCACUAAAAGAGGGGUUAUUUGCUGCUGAGAAUGACUUAAGUGUUCAAGAAACAGUGAAGUAUGCAGGAGUUUGUUCCACAUUUUAGGUACAGCUGCACUGUAAUGGCAGGGAAUAUGUGUUUCUAGGUGCAUUUUACAAUGCAAGAUCACAAAAUUUAUAAAAGCCAUUACACUUAGGAAGAGCUUAAGAUACCAGAAGAGCAACUAAAGCAAGACUAUUCGUCAGAGCUGGCAGCUUUGCUUUCCUUGACAACUCAGUCAUUCCUGUAAUUAGAUUUCUAGACUGCAGCUAUUAAGGAUCCCCAAGCUAACUCAAUUCUCUACAGGUCAUGAGCUGUUCUAAUAUUUAAUCUAGCAGUUUACUGUAUUCCACCAUCAGCUUUUAAUUGUUGCUGUAAAGUCACAGUAAAUUUUCAAGCUGAGAAGAAGGAAACUCCUACAGUCAAUCUAACCCUAGAGCUGGUCUUCAGUUCCAGCUGCCUCACCCAAACGCCUUUUGACUCGUAAGGAACAAGUUAUAAUACACGAGUCUGGAAAAUAGCGUGCUACCUGGCUAAUUCCUGCUAGGAGUAAGUCUGGAGAGAGUGCAGAUUGGCUUGAACUCAUUAGCUGCUCAGGAGGAGCUGCUGAGCACUGAUCAGUACAAAGCUGAGGUCAGUAUGUUACGUGGGCGCUUGGAGCGCCCCGGCCUGUAUCGGGAAGGCGGACACUGCAUCUCUCUGCCAUUGCUCUCACAGUGCAGUGACCAAGGGAGACAACGUACUAGUUAGAAUUGUGCCAAAGCAGUCUGCUGUUACUGAUUUCACAACCCUGGCAGUCUCUGCUGGUUGGCAUUUGAAGAUAUUUUGCCCCAUUAAAGCAGAAUUUAGUAUGAAAAGGUGUGGCUUACCGCUACUGCUGCUAUAGUACUGUAUUUUAGUGGGGAAGACACGACCUGCAGCCUCCCUCUCAGCACAGGACCGAAGCUUUUCCAGUCCUGUGAAUGAAGUCACGUAAGCAUGUGACUGCCUCCUGCAGCGUGACCUCCACACGUGACAGUGUGCUGAUGUGUCCAGUGAAGGGACUGCAACUCCCUUUUAAGUUAACUGCUAAGCCAUCUAUGCUAGGUGCUUUGGCACGAGUUUCCCUUUUUCCUGCCUGGCAUCCUUAGUUGUCAGAUUAGGAAACCUGAUGCUAUUAGUGGUAGCAUAUCACUACUAUCCAGUCCCCACCCCCAAGAUAUUAAGACUAGAACCACACAGUGGAUACUGCAGUUUUACAUUUAUAGUUGGACUUUUAUAAUAUUCAAGAUUAGCACAAGAUUCAUAACCAUAAAUUAUACAUUGUUAUCUAAGUACAUAAAACGUUAAUGAUACAUGUAUUUGAAGAGUGGCACAAAGUAAUAAUACAUCCCUGUUGGCAUUCCCAAAGAAAGAGGUGGGUGAUGGACAAGCUGUUGAUACUGCUGCAGCAUAGCAGAACUGAGUCACUGCACCCCGUUAAUGCCGGUGGUGCCGACUCUGCCCACCAGACAGGGUCGGAACAUGGUGUGGCAGAAAGCCAAUGCCAGAAUCAGUUAAAGGUGCAAAUAAAGUCAGGAUUAUGGCCCUCCCUACUGCCUCAAAAUUCUAGCAGCGUGCCCCCCAUCCCAACCCUGACACUGUGCUCUUGCAUCUCUAGUACUUCGGCAGCCCAUGCACACUCCUAUGUUCACUUGCCACACAUAGCUGAGGUUUCCUUUAGUACCAUUUAACAUCAACAAGUAACAUGCUCUCUUCUUGUUAAACAAAAAGGAUCUGGGAAGUGUUUGCUCUCUGGCAUGAGAAGAUUUAUUUUCUUCAAGUCUCAGAUCUACUCCAGAAAAUAUAGAACAGACUCCAACAGCAUUGAACCCCAACAGCAUUAUUGUCCAGAAAAGGAAACUUUCCCAAUAUUCCUCUAAACAUUCAGAGCACAAAUAUUAGAAAGCCCAUUUUCUUUUGCACGUGAGACUGCAAAUGAAACAGGGUAGUCAGAUGUACACAAGUUUUCAACAAUUCAUUAUUAACGAGAUGCUUCACUGAAUUGUUAACAACCCUGCUACUUCAGUAGCUUCAGCUAAAGCUUUAACAACUUGGUGCCAGGCAAUUUCCCAGCUGCCUUCAAUGGGCUUUGCAAAAGAAAGAAAAAUAUGCUCUCUUCCCCCUGGCCUCAAGCAGUUAUUGCUAUAUGAGUUAGUGAAAUAGUGCCUUAACUUCAGACAAGAGUCUCACAAUGUCAUUAACAAAAGCUGCCUUUCAGAGGUUGAAAUGUAACCGGACAAUAAUCAAUAAAUAACAGUAAUAGGCAUCCCGUUGAAAUCUCCUCACUGAGCCGGGCAGCAAGUGUGUUCAGCCAACAGAAGGUCAUCUGUGCCUUUAGGACCAUUGUACACUUCUUGGAGAAGUUAAAAAGGGACGGGAAGGAAGAGAACAGAGACAGUGAAGGUCUGUCAGAGAGCUAGUUACAUAUUAAAACCAUAAACAGGCGGCUGGGUGAAUCCUGGUGUUGUGUAUCCAUAUGGGAAGUUUGCCUGGGGUGGUACUGCGCUGGGGCCCGCUGUUAACAUCAACUGCUGGCCUAUAAAAGCAUGAGAGAAAAAACAAAGUUAGUUUAAGAACCCAAGCUUCCCUAAUGCUAGCUGUGCUAUGGGAUUAUGCACAGGAUUAUGAGGCUUUAGGUACAAAAAAAAAAAAGCCAGCCACUGUGCAAGCAUACACUAGCAAGUCACACCGUUACUCAGCAUGCACCAGAGUGGGUACCUAGCCCAUCUGCUCUUGCCACCAGGAAACUACAAAAGCGAGGCAGGGCUCACAGGGAAGAUGAGCCUCAGCUGUCCUUGAGGGCAUGAUAAACCUGGCAUGUUUUGAAAAGAUCAUACUGAAAGCUAAACAAACUGAUACUAUUUAACCCAUGCAUGGUCAGAACCAAGAAGUACAGCAAUGAAAGCAAAUAGUCUGUUAGGUCUCACAGUCUGGAGAGUACUGCAAAAGGCCUGAACAUACCUUAACAGAUUUGUCUUCAUCACUAGGAGCACACACGCCUCAUGCAUAUGUUAAAUUCAGGUUAACAUUUACAUCAGACAGUGAACUAGUCACAUCCUUCCCUUACCAGCCACUUCUAGGUGCUUGUUAGCAGAAUGCCUCUUCAGAAGGGCUUCUAAAAUAGCAGCGCACUUGAGGACAGCCAUGGUUUUUUGGCUGCACGUGUCUUAAAAUGGGUGAGCUAGAAAGCCAGUCUGCCUCUCUACUUGGAAGAGCAGAAGGCAGAUGACAGACAUAUUCCUCUUAGACAGGAAUAACAGGAGGAAUUUGCGUGCUCUGUAAGUUAUUCCUGGGGUUGUGCAAACCUUGGUAUUCCCUGUCCUGUUACCAUACUGAAAGACUCUUCCUAAGCUAGAGUUCUAAGCCAUGUAAGAGGAGCAAUGCUUUAGCUGAAGAGUAGAAGUACUGUAAGAGUGAGAUGUCACUUCAACAGCUUACGCAGUUGUUCUAGCAGAGACAACCAUUGUACUACCUAGUUGAAACCAGUUUACUUCGACUGGAGGUAGUCAUUUACGUUACCUCCACACAGAGAGACCAGAGUGAUAAUAGGUAAUCAAUUAAAACAGAGUCUUUCACCUACCAAAUACUAUUGGAGUGGGUUCAGUUACUUGUUCCUCUUCUUUUCUUAGGCUUUCAGAAGCAUCAAGUUUAUCCACCUACAUUGAAGUGAACAGGAGAUGUGUGAAGGCCUCAUCUAGGAAUUGCACCAUCGUGUGAAGCUUUUCAUGCCUGGUACCUUAGCUAUCAAGUGUUCCUUUUAUUAGCACAGAAGUCUGUGUGUUCCCAGCAAGCUAUGUUGUAAACCUGCCCUCCCAAUUGCUUUAGGUCUAUUGCAAUACAUGACGGCUUUCAAAUGCAGCUGUCAUCAUUACCUUCAAGUGAAGCACUUUUUGGGGCCCUAUUCUAGCCACUGUUCACUCUAUGACCCAGAAAACAAGCCCAUCAGAUUACAGUUCCAAGCAUCAUCUCAAACGGGCCUAACCUACACUUAUUCGUUAACCUCCAAUCCCUCUGCCCUUCAAUGAGAGGACCCAGAUAUUUGCAAAUAUUCCAGACCCGUGAAGUCUGACCUUAUCUAGAGACAACAGCCUAACCUGGGCUGCAGAGCACUGCUUUAACUGUGGUAGUAUUCACAUAAACUCCUUUUAGAGGAAACUCUAGAACCAUCAUGGAAACUGGUCUAAUUGUAUCAGCCUUAUACAGAUCCCAGUGUUGUGCCAAAUAAAGCUCUGUUCAUGCUAGA
Phalacrocorax carbo (great cormorant) is the source of this 9088-nucleotide non-coding RNA. The record is from RefSeq and is a predicted model, not a curated record. NCBI's taxonomy places the organism in Eukaryota, Metazoa, Chordata, Aves, Suliformes, Phalacrocoracidae.